This 498-nucleotide ribosomal RNA is filed under the name uncultured bacterium. Its description in RNAcentral is "partial 16S ribosomal RNA". It matches the Rfam family "Bacterial small subunit ribosomal RNA", at positions 899 to 1397 of the family's 1533-position model. The record is from RNAcentral.
ACUCAAAGGAAUAGACGGGGGCCCGCACAAGCGGUGGAGCAUGUGGUUUAAUUCGACGCAACGCGAAGAACCUUACCUGGGUUUGAACUUCAGGGGACAGAGGGUGAAAGCCCUUCUUCCUUCGGGACCCCUGGAGAGGUGCUGCAUGGCUGUCGUCAGCUCGUGUCGUGAGAUGUUGGGUUAAGUCCCGUAACGAGCGCAACCCCUACCCUUAGUUGCCAGCGGGUUAAGCCGGGAACUCUAAGGGAACCGCCGGUGAUAAACCGGAGGAAGGUGGGGAUGACGUCAAGUCCUCAUGGCCUUUAUGCCCAGGGCCACACACGUGCUACAAUGGAUGGUACAAAGGGCUGCUAAGCCGUAAGGUGGAGCUAAUCCCAAAAAGCCAUUCUCAGUUCGGAUUGGGGGCUGCAACUCGCCCCCAUGAAGGUGGAAUCGCUAGUAAUCCCGGAUCAGCAUGCCGGGGUGAAUACGUUCCCGGGCCUUGUACACACCGCCCGU